CGCAUACGUUCGAGAGAAGAAAGCAGCAAUGCGCUUGAGGAGGGGUCCGCGGCUGAUUAGCUAGUUGGUGGGGUAAAAGCCUACCAAGGCAAAGAUCAGUAGCCGGCCUGAGAGGGCACACGGCCACACUGGCACUGAGACACGGGCCAGACUCCUACGGGAGGCAGCAGUGGGGAAUCUUGCACAAUGGAGGAAACUCUGAUGCAGCGACGCCGCGUGAGCGAAGAAGCCUUUCGGGGUGUAAAGCUCUUACGCCAGGGACGAUAAUGACGGUACCUGGAGAAGCAGCUGCGGCUAACUACGUGCCAGCAGCCGCGGUAAUACGUAGGCAGCAAGCGUUGUUCGGAAUUACUGGGCGUAAAGGGUGCGUAGGCGGCGCUCUAAGUUUGGUGUGAAAUCUCCCGGCUUAACUGGGAGGGUGCACUGAAAACUGGAGCGCUCGAGUAUGGGAGAGGAAAGCGGAAUUCCUGGUGUAGCGGUGAAAUGCGUAGAGAUCAGGAGGAACACCUGCGGUGUAGACGGCUUUCUGGACCAUAACUGACGCUGAGGCACGAAAGCGUGGGUAGCAAACAGGAUUAGAUACCCUGGUAGUCCACGCCCUAAACGAUGCAUACUUGGUGUGGGUUCUUCACUGGAUCCGUGCCGGAGCUAACGCGUUAA
This 660-nucleotide ribosomal RNA is filed under the name uncultured bacterium. Its description in RNAcentral is "bacterial SSU rRNA". It matches the Rfam family "Bacterial small subunit ribosomal RNA", at positions 170 to 863 of the family's 1533-position model. The record is from RNAcentral.